This is a non-coding RNA of Potamilus streckersoni, 73 nucleotides long. NCBI's taxonomy places the organism in Eukaryota, Metazoa, Mollusca, Bivalvia, Unionida, Unionidae. The record is from the annotation of a GenBank genome assembly.
GCUUCGGUGGCCUAAUGUUAGAGCGUCCGCUCUCGGAUGCGGGUGGUCAUGGGUUCGAUCCCCGGUUGAGUUA